GUUAGCUGCAUUCAAACCAUGGGUCACAACCAUUCCUGACUUGUGUAAUCAAUUCAGUGGUUAACCAGCAUGGUUUUUGGUUUGGUUUCUGUUUUUAAUUUUAAAUACAGUGAACAUUGUAGGAUAAGAGUCAUAAAAUUAUGCGUGUGUAUACCUGUGUAUGUACAUGUGUUUGUAUUCUGAGUUGCAACAAAAAAUAUUUCCAAUUGUGGGUUACAUUUAAAAGUUGUGGCCAGGUACAGUGGCUUACACCUGUAAUCCCAGCUGCCCAGGAAGCCAAGACAAGAAAGUUGCAAGUUCAAGGUCAGCCUCAGGGAGACCCAGUCAAAAUAAUAAAAAAGGACUGGAGGUGUGGCUCAGUGGUAGAGACCCCUGGGUUAAAUCCUGGUUGGGGCCAGCGGGUGAGGGUAUGAAGCCAUUGAAGACAGAUGGUGUUGUGUGACCAACUUGGAGAGGCAUAUUUAUGUGGGCUGCCGAGUGAGGUUCUGACUUUCUUCACCCAAGAAAGGGUGAAAGAGCCUGUGCAGAGUACAUGCUUGACCUCCUCUGGAGCCUCAGUUCUGAUACAUUCAUUUUGGGGAACUGUUGAAUUUUUUACAGGUCUCAGCUCAUGCGUCAGCCAAGUCAUACAUCCCCAAAAGAGGUGUAGGUGUAGGCGUUGCCCUCCUAACAGGAGCCAGCCAUUUCUGUUCUCUCAAGCUUGAAUUAUCACUGCUCCUCUGCAAACCUCUAGCUUAAGAAUUCUGCCUUCAGGACACCUUUAUAAGCCACCCAAAAUUCCAAAUUAAGUGCCCCAGGUCCUUUUUAUGUAUCAUAUUCACUUGGAAUAUUUUCUUCUUUCCAGACUCAAAGUUGACAUUCCUUGAAUGUUUGUCCGCUUAAUUACUGAAGAAUUUGUGUGUGGGUACACAGGCCGGGUUCUGUCUUGAAUACUUUGAUGAGCUUGUUGAGGUUGAAUAUAAUACAAGAGUGCUCAUCUGGGAGCAUGCCACAUGAAUGGAAAAUUGUAACCCUGGGUGCUCUUUGCUUUGUUCCCCUCUAUGUCUUUUCUGACUUUGAAAGCAGCUCAUGGAGAGUAAGGCUUUCUGGUACAAUUGGGAAAACAAUGGGCAGAGAGAGAAGACGCCAGUUCUAGUCCCAGUUCUACAAAACCAUCUGGAUGAGCUUUGGACUCUGUUACAGCCUCUCAGAACUUCUAUUUCCCUAUUUGCCAAGUGUCAGUACUAAUGGCCAUCUCCUCACAGAGUGCUGUAAAGGAAGGACUGAUAGACAGCCAUGGCCUUGAAUGAGGUCCCAUCUGAAUGGACACAGCAAAUCUGUCAUUUCUGGGCAUCUCCUAUAGCAUGCUCUGCCUCCUGUCCCAGCUCUCUUUGACACACUUCAGAUGAUAUCCAGGAAGGACAUGCAGGAUUCCCAAAGCAGGCUGCCUCAGUUGGCUAUCACUGCUUUUGCUAAGGAGGUCUGGUGAGGGGCCAUCAUAGCCUCCUGAGUCCAUGACCCACGCAGGGUCCCUCAAGACUUGUAUCUAUAAGGUCCAUUUAUUGAAAUAGCCUUUUUGUUCUGAUUAGAAAAAUAACACCCAUUCAUUGGUAAAAACCCAGAGCAUGUUGGACGCAGUAGUGCACACCUAUAAUCCCAGUGGCUUGGGAGGCUGAGAUAGGAGCAUCAUGAGUUCAAAGCCAGUCUCAGAAAAAAGCGAGGUGCUAAGCAACUCAGUGAGAUCCUGUCUCUAAAGAAAAUACAAAAUAGGGCUGGUGAUGUAGCUCAGUGGUCAAGUGCCCCUGAGUUUAAUCCCUAGUCAAAAAAAAAAAAAAACCUGGAACAUAUGGGAAAGUCUAUAGAGAUAAAUAGAUCAUCUAAAAUCCCAUUCUGAAGGUAAUUUCGGGUUCCAUGAGAAUGUCAUGUUCACCUUUGCUUUCUUCCCUUGACACCAGAAGGAAUGUUCCAGUGUCAUGUAAAAAUGUAUGCACACCAUUUUUUAUGGUUGCCUAGUGUUCUGACUUACAGACUCAUUUACUUCACCUACAUCAUUGGACAUUGUUUCCAACUUUUCGUUAUUAUAUUAUAAUUCAGUGUUCAGAUUGUUACUGC
RNAcentral lists this long non-coding RNA (2091 nucleotides) under Marmota monax (woodchuck). The record is from RNAcentral. Lineage: Eukaryota; Metazoa; Chordata; Mammalia; Rodentia; Sciuridae.